RNAcentral lists this ribosomal RNA (480 nucleotides) under uncultured bacterium. Its description in RNAcentral is "bacterial SSU rRNA". It matches the Rfam family "Bacterial small subunit ribosomal RNA", at positions 501 to 981 of the family's 1533-position model. The record is from RNAcentral.
CUACGUGCCAGCAGCCGCGGUAAUACGGAGGGUCCAGGCGUUAUCCGGAUUUAUUGGGUUUAAAGGGAGCGUAGGCCGUGGAUUAAGCGUGUUGUGAAAUGUAGACGCUCAACGUCUGAAUUGCAGCGCGAACUGGUUCACUUGAGUAUGCACAACGUAGGCGGAAUUCGUCGUGUAGCGGUGAAAUGCUUAGAUAUGACGAAGAACUCCGAUUGCGAAGGCAGCUUACGGGAGCACAACUGACGCUGAAGCUCGAAGGUGCGGGUAUCAAACAGGAUUAGAUACCCUGGUAGUCCGCACAGUAAACGAUGGAUGCCCGUUGUUAGUUCACUUAUGAAUUAGCGACCAAGCGAAAGCAUUAAGCAUCCCACCUGGGGAGUACGCCGGCAACGGUGAAACUCAAAGGAAUUGACGGGGGCCCGCACAAGCGGAGGAACAUGUGGUUUAAUUCGAUGAUACGCGAGGAACCUUACCCGGGCU